RNAcentral lists this ribosomal RNA (449 nucleotides) under uncultured bacterium. Its description in RNAcentral is "partial 16S ribosomal RNA". It matches the Rfam family "Bacterial small subunit ribosomal RNA", at positions 29 to 523 of the family's 1533-position model. The record is from RNAcentral.
AACGAACGCUGGCGGCAGGCCUAACACAUGCAAGUCGAACGCCCUAGCAAUAGGGAGUGGCAGACGGGUGAGUAACACGUGGGAACCUUCCCUAUACUACAGAAUAGCCCAGGGAAACUUGGAGUAAUACCGUAUACGCCCGAGAGGGGAAAGAUUUAUCGGUAUAGGAUGGGCCCGCGUCGGAUUAGCUAGUUGGUGAGGUAAUGGCUCACCAAGGCGACGAUCCGUAGCUGGUUUGAGAGAACGACCAGCCACACUGGGACUGAGACACGGCCCAGACUCCUACGGGAGGCAGCAGUGGGGAAUAUUGGACAAUGGGCGCAAGCCUGAUCCAGCCAUGCCGCGUGAGUGAUGAAGGCCUUAGGGUUGUAAAGCUCUUUUGCCGGGGACGAUAAUGACGGUACCCGGAGAAUAAGUCCCGGCUAACUUCGUGCCAGCCGCCGCCGUAA